This 73-nucleotide transfer RNA is filed under the name Bartonella sp. JB15. RNAcentral describes it as "tRNA-Trp". It matches the Rfam family "tRNA". From Rfam's summary of the family: Transfer RNA (tRNA) molecules are approximately 80 nucleotides in length. Their secondary structure includes four short double-helical elements and three loops (D, anti-codon, and T loops). RNAcentral also lists the same sequence under 1 other name. The record is from RNAcentral. Lineage: Bacteria; Pseudomonadati; Pseudomonadota; Alphaproteobacteria; Hyphomicrobiales; Bartonellaceae.
AGGGGUAUAGCUCAGUUGGUAGAGCGGCGGUCUCCAAAACCGCAAGUCGCAGGUUCAAGUCCUGCUGCCCCUG